UUAACAAGGGUCCCGUGGAUGUAAUCACUUGCAAAGCCCUGUACACACUUAAUGAAGACUGGCUGUUGUGGCAGGUUCCGGAAUUCAGUACUGUGGCAUUAAACGUCAUCUUUGAAAAAAUCCCGGAAAACGAGAGUGCAGAUGUCUGUCGGAAUAUUUCAGUCAAUGUUCUCGACUGUGACACCAUUGGCCAAGCCAAAGAAAAGAUUUUCCAAGCAUUCUUAAGCAAAAAUGGCUCUCCUUAUGGACUUCAGCUUAAUGAAAUUGGUCUUGGUAAGGCGGUGCGGGAGCUAUGUGGUCCCAGGCCCUGAUGAGUGUCCCUCCCUCCCUGCCCCCCCCUCCCUGCCCCCACCAGCUUCCGUUCAGUGACACUUACACAGCCAGGUUGUUCCUGGAGGGCAUGUCUAGGGGCCAAGAGACUGCUUUGGUCUCUCAUGGGCAUCCUGAUUCUUUGAAGGAAGCACGGUCCUUCAAAGAUGGCGUUUGUUGCUGUUGUCUUUAAAUAUUACGUCUGUAAAUCAGAUUCAUGAGAUUGCAAACCCUGAGACUGAACGGAAUCACCUUGCAUCAUGAAGUACAGAAAGGUGUCAACACAGUG
This 598-nucleotide small RNA is filed under the name Pongo abelii (Sumatran orangutan). RNAcentral describes it as "retained intron". The record is from RNAcentral. Lineage: Eukaryota; Metazoa; Chordata; Mammalia; Primates; Hominidae.